UUCAUCAUCCUCAUCAUCUUUUUACCUUCAAACUCCUAACAAUGGCUACCCUCCUCUUCUCUUUCUCUUUGCUCAGCCAACAACACCACCACCACCACGCUAGCCACCAGCGCCGAUAGUACCACCACCUCCUCCCUUUAUUGUUGUUACGCAUGUUGAUCACUGUUGGGUUUAAAUUGGGGAUUUUGUGACUCAAAUUGAAGUUCAAGAUUGAAAGUUGAAAGGUCCUUCAAUGGUGAUUGAGUUUUUGAUGGGCCCUAUCGCUUAGGAGGGAUAGAUCCACUUUCAGGUUGCCAACUUUAGUGCGGAUGGAUGUGCUGCUCCUUUAUGUGCCAUGUGUUGCGAUAGCGAGGACAUCGUUUUUGGAAAGUUAAAUUAUAAUGAUAUUUUGACAAAUCAUGUAUUGUAAAAAUUUAAAAAAAUUUAGAUAUUUUAUAAUGUAUUAACUUAGUUUAUAACUGGUUUGUAAGUAAUUGUAUUACAGUUAUGUAAAGUUUUAAAAUACUCUGAUAUUGGUUGUUGUGGCUAUCAAGCCACAGGUCGGAUUCAGCCCAGACUUCUAUAAGUCUUCCGCUGUGCUUUGUAGACAAUAUUCUUAUAUUGUUUACGCUGGUUUGGGCUGUUUCAUUGGUGUACACGAUUUUGGUGUCAAUCUCAAAAAGUACUUCCUCCGUUUCAAAAUACUUGCACCAAAUCCAUUUUUGCGCAAUCCAAUGUGUUUGUCGAAUCGUUUAUAUCUAGAGCUAUACAUAACUAAAAAUUAUAAAAAUUUGAUAUUAUGAAAAUAUGCGACGAGACGAAUAAAACAAGAUCCCACAUGACUAUGUUCUUUU
Long non-coding RNA from Amaranthus tricolor (Joseph's coat), 833 nucleotides. RefSeq lists it as uncharacterized. Lineage: Eukaryota; Viridiplantae; Streptophyta; Magnoliopsida; Caryophyllales; Amaranthaceae. The transcript has 3 exons. The record is from RefSeq and is a predicted model, not a curated record.